UACGUAGGGGGCGAGCGUUAUCCGGAUUUACUGGGCGUAAAGCGCGUUAAGGCGGUUGGCAAAGUUGGUGGUGAAAUUUCAGGGCUCAACCCUGAAACUGCCUCCAAUACUGGUCGACUUGAGUGCGAGAGAGGAAGGUGGAAUUCCCGGUGUAGUAGUGAAAUGCGUAGAUAUCGGGAGGAACACCAGUGGCGAAGGCGGCCUUCUGGCUCGCAACUGACGCUGUAGCGCGAAAGCGUGGGGAGCGAACAGG
This 253-nucleotide ribosomal RNA is filed under the name uncultured bacterium. RNAcentral describes it as "partial 16S ribosomal RNA". It matches the Rfam family "Bacterial small subunit ribosomal RNA", at positions 524 to 776 of the family's 1533-position model. The record is from RNAcentral.